AUGAGUUGCCUAAAAGAAGUUCCGACACUCAGAGGUGACAACCACACUGAGUGGAGGAAGAAAGUUGAACUGGCGUUUGUUUGUGCUGAUCUUGACUGGGUUAUGGAGAAACCACAGCCGGUUAGACCCACAGAGCCAGUAAGAGAGGCUACUGAUGAUGAUGCUGCAUGGGCUAAAAAGAAAGGGGACUAUGCUCCUUUGGAGCAGUCCUACCUCAUAGAUAAUCAAAAGUGGGUCAAUGCAAAUAAAAAAUGCAUGGCCUUUAUAAAGAACACCAUUGAGAGCGCCAUUGUGGACUCCAUUGCAGAGUGCACUUCCGCAGGGGAGUUGCUCUCAAAGAUAAAGAGCCAGUUUAUUGGCUCUUCAAAGAUAUAUGCCACCCAGGUGUUAGAGCAACUGGUGACAGAAAAAUACACAGGUGGUAGUCAUGGCAUAAGAGAGCACAUCCUCAGGAUGAGCAAUAUGGCAGCAAAGCUCAAACCCAUGGAUGCGGAUCUGGAG
RNAcentral lists this ribosomal RNA (501 nucleotides) under Triticum aestivum (bread wheat). Its description in RNAcentral is "partial small subunit ribosomal RNA". Lineage: Eukaryota; Viridiplantae; Streptophyta; Magnoliopsida; Poales; Poaceae. The record is from RNAcentral.